Molecule: long non-coding RNA, 102 nt
Organism: Limulus polyphemus (Atlantic horseshoe crab)
Lineage: Eukaryota; Metazoa; Arthropoda; Merostomata; Xiphosura; Limulidae
Exons: 3
Source: RefSeq, a predicted model, not a curated record
UUUAUUUAACAGUUUCAUUUAAGCAGGUUGAUAAGUAAACAUUUGCUUCAUUUUUAUAAUUCAAUGGAAAUAUAUAUUGUUAGUAUUGUUAAUAACAUAUCA